Molecule: unclassified non-coding RNA, 295 nt
Filed under: uncultured fungus
Lineage: Eukaryota; Fungi
Description: sequence contains ITS1
Rfam family: 5.8S ribosomal RNA (bases 1-105)
Source: RNAcentral
GAAAUGCGAUAAGUAAUGUGAAUUGCAGAAUUCAGUGAAUCAUCGAAUCUUUGAACGCACAUUGCGCUCCCUGGUAUUCCGGGGAGCAUGCCUGUUCGAGCGUCAUUAUCAACCAUCAAGCUCUGCUUGGCAUUGGAUGCCGUCCCCCGUGGACGCGUCUUAAACCCUUUGGCGGCGGUUACAAACCUCAAGCGUAGUAGAAAUCCUUAGCUUUCUAGGUUGUGGCCGCUCUGCCUCGAGAACAUCUCACCUCAAGGUUGACCUCGGAUCAGGUAGGGAUACCCGCUGAACUUAA